GCCUGGUUGGCUCAGUUGGUGGAGCACGUGACUCUUGAUCUUGGGGUUGUGAGAUCGAGCCCCACACUGGCUG
This 73-nucleotide transfer RNA is filed under the name Ailuropoda melanoleuca (giant panda). It matches the Rfam family "tRNA". From Rfam's summary of the family: Transfer RNA (tRNA) molecules are approximately 80 nucleotides in length. Their secondary structure includes four short double-helical elements and three loops (D, anti-codon, and T loops). Lineage: Eukaryota; Metazoa; Chordata; Mammalia; Carnivora; Ursidae. The record is from Rfam by way of RNAcentral.